GACGAACGCUGGCGGCGUGCUUAACACAUGCAAGUCGAACGGAAAGGCCCUGCUUUUGUGGGGUGCUCGAGUGGCGAACGGGUGAGUAACACGUGAGUAACCUGCCCUUGACUUUGGGAUAACUUCAGGAAACUGGGGCUAAUACCGGAUAGGAGCUCCUGCUGCAUGGUGGGGGUUGGAAAGUUUCGGCGGUUGGGGAUGGACUCGCGGCUUAUCAGCUUGUUGGUGGGGUAGUGGCUUACCAAGGCUUUGACGGGUAGCCGGCCUGAGAGGGUGACCGGCCACAUUGGGACUGAGAUACGGCCCAGACUCCUACGGGAGGCAGCAGUGGGGAAUAUUGCACAAUGGGCGGAAGCCUGAUGCAGAAACGCCGCGUGCGGGAUGACGGCCUUCGGGUUGUAAACCGCUUUCGCCUGUGACGAAGCGUGAGUGACGGUAAUGGGUAAAGAAGCACCGGCUAACUACGUGCCAGCAGCCGCGGUGAUACGUAGGGUGCGAGCGUUGUCCGGAUUUAUUGGGCGUAAAGGGCUCGUAGGUGGUUGAUCGCGUCGGAAGUGUAAUCUUGGGGCUUAACCCUGAGCGUGCUUUCGAUACGGGUUGACUUGAGGAAGGUAGGGGAGAAUGGAAUUCCUGGUGGAGCGGUGGAAUGCGCAGAUAUCAGGAGGAACACCAGUGGCGAAGGCGGUUCUCUGGGCCUUUCCUGACGCUGAGGAGCGAAAGCGUGGGGAGCGAACAGGCUUAGAUACCCUGGUAGUCCACGCUGUAAACGGUGGGUACUAGGUGUGGGGUCCAUUCCACGGGUUCCGUGCCGUAGCUAACGCUUUAAGUACCCCGCCUGGGGAGUACGGCCGCAAGGCUAAAACUCAAAGGAAUUGACGGGGCCCCGCACAUGCGGCGGAGCAUGCGGAUUAAUUCGAUGCAACGCGUAGAACCUUACCUGGGUUUGACAUGGAUCGGGAGUGCUCAGAGAUGGGUGUGCCUCUUUUGGGGUCGGUUCACAGGUGGUGCAUGGCUGUCGUCAGCUCGUGUCGUGAGAUGUUGGGUUAAGUCCCGCAACGAGCGCAACCCUUGUUCACUGUUGCCAGCACGUUAUGGUGGGGACUCAGUGGAGACCGCCGGGGUCAACUCGGAGGAAGGUGGGGAUGACGUCAAGUCAUCAUGCCCCUUAUGUCCAGGGCUUCACGCAUGCUACAAUGGCUGGUACAGAGAGUGGCGAGCCUGUGAGGGUGAGCGAAUCUCGGAAAGCCGGUCUCAGUUCGGAUUGGGGUCUGCAACUCGACCUCAUGAAGUCGGAGUCGCUAGUAAUCGCAGAUCAGCAACGCUGCGGUGAAUACGUUCCCGGG
This 1343-nucleotide ribosomal RNA is filed under the name uncultured bacterium. RNAcentral's name for it is "16S ribosomal RNA". It matches the Rfam family "Bacterial small subunit ribosomal RNA", at positions 28 to 1378 of the family's 1533-position model. The record is from RNAcentral.